UGGGGGUUCUCGUCGGGUUUGCUGUGUCAGCUAUCUGUGCAGAGCUGGGGCAGCACACAGAGGGAACACAUGCACGCAGCUGAGUGAUAUCAACAGGAGAAAGCAGAAGCACCACACCGGUAGCAUCUAACAACACUGGUGACCCCGACCGCUGAUCUGCUGCAGAUGUGGCCUUGAGGGUCUCAUCAGGCACACCAAUGGAGCAGCUCACACAGAUGAGGAGAAAGAAGAGGAGUAAGGAAGACAUGUUCCAGAAGAGAUGACCUUGGGAGCCCAGCCUCCCUAUUUGUUAUCACCAGCUGAACGGCUGCGCAGAA
This is a long non-coding RNA of Trachemys scripta elegans, 317 nucleotides long. RefSeq lists it as uncharacterized. The transcript has 3 exons. Lineage: Eukaryota; Metazoa; Chordata; Testudines; Emydidae. The record is from RefSeq and is a predicted model, not a curated record.